RNAcentral lists this ribosomal RNA (480 nucleotides) under uncultured bacterium. Its description in RNAcentral is "partial 16S ribosomal RNA". It matches the Rfam family "Bacterial small subunit ribosomal RNA", at positions 28 to 507 of the family's 1533-position model. The record is from RNAcentral.
GACGAACGCUGGCGGCGUGCUUAACACAUGCAAGUCGAACGAUGAAGAAAAGAAUCGAAGCUUCGGCAGAAAUUCAUUUCGGAUUAGUGGCAGACGGGUGAGUAACGCGUGAGCAACCUACCUCUUACAAAGGGAUAGCCUCGGGAAACCGGGAUUAAUACCAUAUAACAUUGCGACGAAGCAUUUCGAUGCAAUCAAAGCUACGGCGGUAAGAGAUGGGCUCGCGUCCCAUUAACCGGAUGGUGAGGUAACGGCUCACCAUAGUGACGAUGGGUAACCGGCCUGAGAGGGUGAACGGUCACACUGGAACUGAGACACGGUCCAGACUCCUACGGGAAGAAGCAGUGGGGAAUAUUGCACAAUGGAGGGAACUCUGAUGCAGCGACGCCGCGUGAGUGAUGAAGGAAUUCGUUUCGUAAAACUCUGUUCUAUGGGAAGAAAAGGACUGUACCAUAGGAGAAAGCUCCGGCUAAAUACGUG